This 516-nucleotide ribosomal RNA is filed under the name uncultured bacterium. RNAcentral describes it as "bacterial SSU rRNA". It matches the Rfam family "Bacterial small subunit ribosomal RNA", at positions 28 to 526 of the family's 1533-position model. The record is from RNAcentral.
GACGAACGCUGGCGGCGUGCCUAAUACAUGCAAGUCGAGCGGAUUGAUUCGGAGCUUGCUCCGAUGAUGUCAGCGGCGGACGGGUGAGUAACACGUGGGUAACCUGCCUGGCAGACUGGGAUAACGCUUGGAAACGAGUGCUAAUACCGGAUCAUCUCUUGGAUCGCAUGGUCCGAGAGUAAAAGGAGCUUUUGCUUCACUGCUAGAUGGACCCGCGGCGCAUUAGCUAGUUGGUGAGGUAAUGGCUCACCAAGGCGACGAUGCGUAGCCGACCUGAGAGGGUGACCGGCCACACUGGGACUGAGACACGGCCCAGACUCCUACGGGAGGCAGCAGUAGGGAAUCUUCCGCAAUGGGCUCAAGCCUGACGGAGCAACGCCGCGUGAGUGAGGAAGGCCUUCGGGUUGUAAAACUCUGUCUUCUGUGAAGAACCAUCCUGUGCAGGGAAAGCUCAGGACCUGACGGUAACAGAGGAGGAAGCCCCGGCUAACUACGUGCCAGCAGCCGCAGUAACAC